ACGGGUGAGUAACACGUGGGCAACCUGCCCUUGAAACUGGGAUAACUUCGGGAAACCGGACCUAAUACCGGAUAAUAUGAGGAACCUCCUGGUUCCUUAUUGAAAGAUGGUUUCGGCUAUCACUUAAGGAUGGGCCCGCGGCGCAUUAGCUAGUUGGUGAGGUAACGGCUCACCAAGGCGACGAUGCGUAGCCGACCUGAGAGGGUGAUCGGCCACACUGGGACUGAGACACGGCCCAGACUCCUACGGGAGGCAGCAGUAGGGAAUCUUCCACAAUGGACGAAAGUCUGAUGGAGCAACGCCGCGUGAGUGAUGAAGGCCUUCGGGUCGUAAAGCUCUGUUGUUAGGGAAGAACAAGUGCGAGAGUAACUGCUCGCACCUUGACGGUACCUAACCAGAAAGCCACGGCUAACUACGUGCCAGCAGCCGCGGUAAUACGUAGGUGGCAAGCGUUAUCCGGAAUUAUUGGGCGUAAAGCGCGCGCAGGUGGUUUCUUAAGUCUGAUGUGAAAGCCCACGGCUCAACCGUGGAGGGUCAUUGGAAACUGGGGAACUUGAGUGCAGAAGAGGAAAGUGGAAUU
Molecule: ribosomal RNA, 580 nt
Filed under: uncultured bacterium
Lineage: Bacteria
Description: bacterial SSU rRNA
Rfam family: Bacterial small subunit ribosomal RNA
Source: RNAcentral